Molecule: non-coding RNA, 29 nt
Filed under: Homo sapiens (human)
Lineage: Eukaryota; Metazoa; Chordata; Mammalia; Primates; Hominidae
Source: RNAcentral
UGUGAGUGACGGUGAAUCAAGCUGUGGAC